This 554-nucleotide long non-coding RNA is filed under the name Medicago truncatula (barrel medic). RNAcentral describes it as "long non-coding RNA (MTRU_LNC003345)". Lineage: Eukaryota; Viridiplantae; Streptophyta; Magnoliopsida; Fabales; Fabaceae. The record is from RNAcentral.
GUUGGUUCUGGUUUGGUUCCCUGCUGUUCUGAUCCGCUCUUCUUCUUCACAGGUUCGGUAUAUGGAUUUUCGUCCCUCUUCUUCGUCUCCGGGAAAGCCUCUGCGAUCGUGCUGGAGUUCGCCGCUUUCAGUGGUGGACUCGCACUCGAAUUGCAGAGCAACGAUUCAAUGAUGAUGAUUCCUUGGCGAAUCUCUGAGAAUCGUGGAAAAUUCAAUGAAUUUCUUGAUGAUUUUGUGAUUCUGGUGAUUUAGGGUUUUUGAUUUUUCUCUGUGUUCUUGAUGAUUUCUCUGUGAUUCUGGUUUUGAUCUAACUGACAAGAGAGAGAAAAAUUGAUUCUGUUUUUCUUCUUUGGUGAAGUGGCGUGUGAUUAAUUGCUUUGAAUCUGACUCACUGUUUAUAUAGUUGACAUGUGUACACUUGAGCCAAUGGAUUUGUGACAUCUGGACAUGGAGAAAAAUGGCACGGCCUUGUAAUUUUGGACCUUGAGGACCUCCCUGCAAUUUUGUAAAAUAUAGGACUGGACUGCAAUUUUAAAAACAGAACUAAAAAAAUA